AUGAAGACCUGUAUGAAUGGCAUAACGAGGGCUUAACUGUCUCCUUUUUCUAGUCAAUGAAAUUGAUCUCCCCGUGCAGAAGCGGGGAUAAUAACAUAAGACGAGAAGACCCUGUGGAGCUUUAGAUUCCAGAACAGUCCGUGUCAAAUUUAACUCUAUUAAGAGAAUGAACUAAUCGGCUUCUGUUCCUAUAUC
Molecule: ribosomal RNA, 195 nt
Filed under: Opistognathus aurifrons (yellowhead jawfish)
Lineage: Eukaryota; Metazoa; Chordata; Actinopteri; Opistognathidae
Description: partial large subunit ribosomal RNA
Source: RNAcentral